Molecule: non-coding RNA, 114 nt
Organism: Erinaceus europaeus (western European hedgehog)
Lineage: Eukaryota; Metazoa; Chordata; Mammalia; Eulipotyphla; Erinaceidae
Source: Rfam
GUCUACGGCCAUACCACCCUGAACAUGCCCCAUCUCGUCUAAUCUCGGAAGCUAAGCAAGGUCAGGCCUAAUUAGUACUUGGAUGGGAGAGGGGAGAGGAAGGAGACAGAUUCU